This 2356-nucleotide long non-coding RNA is filed under the name Bos grunniens (domestic yak). RNAcentral's name for it is "lncRNA (ENSBGRG00000016393.1)". Lineage: Eukaryota; Metazoa; Chordata; Mammalia; Artiodactyla; Bovidae. The record is from RNAcentral.
CCCCGCCGGAGUCGCCCGGGAAGGGGGUCCGGGGAAGGCGGGAGCACGCCCGCGAGCCGAGGGCCCCUCGGCCUCACUGCAGCUGCUGGCCGCCCCGGAGCCGCGCUGCCGCACGCAUGGCCCGCCGCGGGGCCGAGUUCUGGUCCCCGCCUUUCCUCGCCUCUGGCUCCUCGGCGCUAUUGUCCAGGCCCGGGGAGCCCUGCCGCCCCAAUCGGGGCGCGCAGCGCUUCGCAGCUUCCCGCCCCGCCGCGCUAGGAACUCGGGGCGCCGGUCACUGCCCUGCUCCCGCCUCCGCCAUGAUCUCAGCCAAGCCGCUUCCCGCGCCGCCGCCGCCUCCUCAAGCUGCCGCCGCCAUGUUUUCCUUCCUUAUACCUGGCCCUGCCACCGCAGCCGGACGUUGUGCUCCUCUCGUCUGCUUCAAAUGUCCGAAGCUGACGGGCGCCAGGUCCCGCUGCAACUUCUACCACUGCGCGGAAGACUCCUAGAGCCCCCAAGCGCACGAGCGCUUCUGGCUACUGGGAGUCCCUGUCCCUCCGCCGCCGCCGCCGCCGCCUCUUCCGUCUUCCUCACCGAGCCAAAGCCGCCGCCAUCUUGGUUCGCCCCUCAAUAGUGGCGCGCGCGGGGCCACCCAGGCAGCGGCUGCAGGGGCGGCCCGUUGGCCCCACCAUUUAAAGAGGCAGGAACGAAGCUGUGAGUCUCGCAGCGGCGGAGGCCUCGGAUGGAGGUGGGAGGCGGGCCCCGGGUUGCCGAGGUGGCGGGAGCGCAGGGAGCGGAGGAGGCGGAACGCUGGUCGCGCCGGUGACGAGCCGGGUCUCCCUCGCGCUCCUCGCACGCACCGUCGUGCGAGCGCAGGGCAGGUGUGCGUCCGUCGCGCCCUGUGUUCGUCAUCAGCCCGCUCCGGAUUCGAAGGGCGUGGAUCCCGCCUCUGGCUCCUGCGGGUUGCGAGGCUUUUGCCCGCGGGGUGCUCUGGGUCUGGGGUUCUGGAGCCCGCAGUUGUCUUCACAGGUGGCUCGCGGUCCAGACGCCGAUCCCGGCGGGCAUCAGGCGGCUUGGGCCUGGGGUCCUCCGCGCCCGCCCGCCUCCGCGAGUAUCCUGUCCGAGCCAAAGCCGCCGCCAUCUUGGUUCGCCCCUCAAUAGUGGCGCGCGCGGGGCCACCCAGGCAGCGGCUGCAGGGGCGGCCCGUUGGCCCCACCAUUUAAAGAGGCAGGAACGAAGCUGUGAGUCUCGCAGCGGCGGAGGCCUCGGAUGGAGGUGGGAGGCGGGCCCCGGGUUGCCGAGGUGGCGGGAGCGCAGGGAGCGGAGGAGGCGGAACGCUGGUCGCGCCGGUGACGAGCCGGGUCUCCCUCGCGCUCCUCGCACGCACCGUCGUGCGAGCGCAGGGCGGGUGUGCGUCCGUCGCGCCCUGUGUUCGUCAUCAGCCCCGCUCCGGAUUCGAAAGGGCGUGGAUCCCGCCUCUGGCUCCUGCGGGUUGCGAGGCUUUUUGCCCGCGGGGUGCUCUGGGUCUGGGGUUCUGGAGCCCGCAGUUGUCUUCACAGGUGGCUCGCGGUCCAGACGCCGAUCCCGGCGGGCAUCAGGCGGCUUGGGCCUGGGGUCCUCCCGCGCCCGCCCGCCUCCGCGAGUAUCCUGUCCGAGCCGCCUUUGGGGCUGGACUGGGCACCCGGCGCGCAGAGGAAUCAAUCCAAGUUUGCCAGAGCACGUGGCUUCCUCUUCAGAUACCAACACUGAAAGAUUCUGGGUUGAUCUGUUAUUGGACCCCACGUCCAAGGUCAGGGGUGGCGGCUGAAAGGAGCAAACCCACGUCCAAGGAGCGGCUGUUGCGUGGCGCAGGAGGACCAAGAGGAGCUACUCCACAUUCAAGGUCAGGAGGGCUGGCUGUGAGGAGAUACCCCACGUCCAAGGUAAGAGAAACCCAAGUGAGACGGUAGGUGGUGCUAGAGGGCAUCAGAGGGCAGACACACUGAAACCAUAAUCACAGAAAACUAGCCAAUCUGAUCACACGGACCACAGCCUUGUCUAACACAAUGAAACUAAGCCAUGCCAUGUGGGGCCACCCAAGACGGACGGGUCAUGGUGGAGAGGUCUGACACAAUGUGGUCCACUGGCGAAGGGAAUGGCAAACCACUUCAGUAUUCUUGCCUUGAGAACCCUAUGAACAGUAUGAAAAGGCAAGAUGAUGGGAUACUGAAAGAAGAACUCCCCAGGUUGGUAGGUGCCCAAUAUGCUACUGGAGAUCAGUGGAGAAAUAACUCCAGAAAGAAUAAAGGGAUGGAGCCAAAGCAAAAACAAUACCCAGUUGUUGGAUGUGACUGGUGAGAGAAGCAAGGUCCAAUGCUGUAAAGAGCAAUAUUGCAUAUAG